RNAcentral lists this long non-coding RNA (922 nucleotides) under Mus caroli (Ryukyu mouse). RNAcentral's name for it is "lncRNA (MGP_CAROLIEiJ_G0006624.1)". Lineage: Eukaryota; Metazoa; Chordata; Mammalia; Rodentia; Muridae. The record is from RNAcentral.
GUCGCUCUCCCGGACCCAGGCUGGGAAGAGGGGGAUGGCAUCCACAUCUGCCAGGAGUGGGGACAAAAAGGACAUCAGGUCAUCUCAAGCUGCCGCCUCCUUAGGUGGAGGGCAGAAAGUCUCAUUAUCCUGCUCUGAAGAAUUCCUGACCCGAAUCAGCACAGAACUUACAGACGAAGCACUGUUUAUUGCUCGCUCCCGUUUGAGUCCUCUGCCCAAUAAGGAAAAGAACACAAAAGACCAAGGGACUCAGAUAUCUAGACAUGGUGAACGCUCUCCUUCUUCAUCUAGAGACCAGUCCCUGACUCCCUUCCAACCAUAGCUGCUCUCCGCAGGAAUCUGCCAAUGUUUUCCUGCCUCCUUGCCCAUCCUAGGCACAGUGCCCCUUAACUUCCAACUCACUCAUUGUCACUAGCCAGGAACCCCCUUGUCCCUACCUGCUCUAGCCACAACUUUUCUAACCAUGGGGAAAGUUGUUCCUUUAACUGGGGCCUCUAAUUCCAGUGUUCUUCACUAAGACCCGAGGCACUGACACCCGUUCCUGAUUCUCAGCCUAUUCUGUUGUCUUCUGUCAUCUCCAGCUCUGACAAAAAUCGAACCCGAACCAAGGCACACCUUCUGCCUUCUCCUCGUGAAAAGGGACCACUCCCCAACAGCCUGACAACUGGAGGAUGAGCUUGGCCCUCCCUAAUACUGCUCUCUCAGCUUCUUGCCUUCCCCCACUAUGUCCCUCAGUGAAAACCUCAAAGCCCCUCUUUUGCAACUGGCUACGCCUCUCAUCUUGGGAGGAAUGCCUGGUCAUAAGCAAUGCCACCUUUGAAACCAAGAAAAUCUUCUGGAACUGUUGCGGGGCCCUCCACCCUCCAUGGGCAAACGCUACUGAGAAGAAAAUGUUUCAAUAAAGAACCAGGAUCCUCUCUUC